UCCUCUCUCUUCAUUGUUUUUCUGAAAGAAGGCAUUUUUACUAAAUAUUAACCAACAAUCCUCCCGGGAUAAUUUUCUUACUUUGAAUAAAUAACCUCUCCUGCAACCCAUGUUCCCUGGUGCAUUCUCAUCUUUACUGGAAGCCAAAAUACUGCUUCCUACUGAAGCGAUGUGAAAGAGUCUCACAUUUGUUCCCACUUGCUGGGACCAUCUUCCCACACAUUAUCCAAGACAAGCAGAAAUCUUUUCCCCUUAAUUAACUUUUGGGCUUGUUGCAUUAUAGCUUCAAAUUCAACAAAAAAUGACUACUAGUUACAAAAUUAAUAGGGUGAAAUUAACUUUUGGGCUUGUUGCAUUAUAGCUUCAAAUUCAACAAAAAAUGA
RNAcentral lists this unclassified non-coding RNA (383 nucleotides) under Hevea brasiliensis (rubber tree). Lineage: Eukaryota; Viridiplantae; Streptophyta; Magnoliopsida; Malpighiales; Euphorbiaceae. The record is from RNAcentral.